CACGUAGGGGGCGAGCGUUGUCCGGAUUCAUUGGGCGUAAAGCGCGCGCAGGCGGCUUGGAAAGUCGGGUGUGAAAACUCGGGGCUCAACCCCGGGCGUGCAUCCGAUACUGCCAGGCUUGAGGCAGGUAGGGGAGAUCGGAAUUCCUGGUGUAGCGGUGAAAUGCGCAGAUAUCAGGAGGAACACCGGUGGCGAAGGCGGAUCUCUGGGCCUGUCCUGACGCUGAGGCGCGAAAGCUAGGGUAGCAAACGGG
Molecule: ribosomal RNA, 253 nt
Filed under: uncultured bacterium
Lineage: Bacteria
Description: partial 16S ribosomal RNA
Rfam family: Bacterial small subunit ribosomal RNA
Source: RNAcentral